GAUGAACGCUGGCGGCGUGCCUAAUACAUGCAAGUCGAGCGAGCGGACGAGAAGCUUGCUUCUCUGAUGUUAGCGGCGGACGGGUGAGUAACACGUGGAUAACCUACCUAUAAGACUGGGAUAACUUCGGGAAACCGGAGCUAAUACCGGAUAAUAUUUUGAACCGCAUGGUUCAAAAGUGAAAGACGGUCUUGCUGUCACUUAUAGAUGGAUACGCGCUGCAUUAGCUAGUUGGUAAGGUAACGGCUUACCAAGGCAACGAUGCAUAGCCGACCUGAGAGGGUGAUCGGCCACACUGGAACUGAGACACGGUCCAGACUCCUACGGGAGGCAGCAGUAGGGAAUCUUCCGCAAUGGGCGAAAGCCUGACGGAGCAACGCCGCGUGAGUGAUGAAGGUCUUCGGAUCGUAAAACUCUGUUAUUAGGGAAGAACAUAUGUGUAAGUAACUGUGCACAUCUUGACGGUACCUAAUCAGAAAGCCACGGCUAACUACGUG
Molecule: ribosomal RNA, 497 nt
Filed under: uncultured bacterium
Lineage: Bacteria
Description: partial 16S ribosomal RNA
Rfam family: Bacterial small subunit ribosomal RNA
Source: RNAcentral